RNAcentral lists this ribosomal RNA (510 nucleotides) under uncultured bacterium. RNAcentral's name for it is "bacterial SSU rRNA". It matches the Rfam family "Bacterial small subunit ribosomal RNA", at positions 29 to 518 of the family's 1533-position model. The record is from RNAcentral.
AACGAACGCUGGCGGCGUGCUUAACACAUGCAAGUCGAACGCGAAAGGGACUUCGGUCCUGAGUAAAGUGGCGCACGGGUGAGUAACGCGUAGAUAACCUGUCUUCAUGUCUGGAAUAAUACGCCGAAAGGGGUACUAAUACCGAAUAUUCUUGCUUUUCAUAAGUUAUGCAAGCAAAGGUGGCCUCUGCAUAUGCUACUGCAUGAAGAGGGGUCUGCGUACCAUUAGCUAGUAGGUGGGGUAAUGGCCUACCUAGGCGACGAUGGUUAGCGGGUCUGAGAGGAUGAUCCGCCACACUGGCACUGGAACACGGGCCAGACUCCUACGGGAGGCAGCAGUGAGGAAUAUUGCGCAAUGGGGGAAACCCUGACGCAGCGACGCCGCGUGAGUGAGGAAGGCCUUCGGGUCGUAAAGCUCUGUCAAGAGGAAAGAAGUGUACAAUGGCUAAUACCUGUUGUAUUUGACGGUACCUCUAAAGGAAGCACCGGCUAACUCCGUGCCAGCCGCCGC